UUCAAAGGCAAAAUGAGAACUACAU
Molecule: non-coding RNA, 25 nt
Filed under: Cricetulus griseus (Chinese hamster)
Lineage: Eukaryota; Metazoa; Chordata; Mammalia; Rodentia; Cricetidae
Source: RNAcentral